UUGGGGUAAUGGGGCACUGGGAUAUUGGGGUCAUGGGGUGGGGAUUUGGGGGCACCGGAAGAUGGGGGACUGGGACAGGGGAGACAUUGGGAUGUGAGGAUGUGGAGAUAUUGGGAUAACGGGGACUGUGGGAUGUGGGGACAUUGGGGUGUGGGAAUAUGGGGAUGCUGAGAGCUGGGAAUGCGGGGACUUUGGGAUAUUGGGACAUGGAGACAUUGGGAUUUGGGUUUAUGGGGACAUGGGGACAUUGGGACACUGGGAUUUGGGUUUAUGGGGACAUGGAGACUCUGGGAUUUGGGUUUAUUGGGACACGGAGACACUGGGAUUUGAGUUUAUGGAGACAUGGAGAUAUUGGGAUUUGGGUUUAUGGGGACAUUGGGAUACAGACACAUUGGGGCAUGGAAAUAUGGGAACAUUGGGAUGAAGGAAUGUGAGGACAUUAGGACAUAAAAGCAUGGGGAUGUUGGGAUUUGGGUUUAUGGGGACACUGGAACAUGGAGACAUUGGGAUUUGAAUUUAUGGGGAGAUGGAGACGUUGGGAUUUGGGUUUAUGGGGACAUGGAGACAUUGGGAUUUGGGUUUAUGAGGCAUGGAGACACUGGGAUUUGGGUUUAUGGGGACAUUGGGACACUGGGAUUUGGUUUUAUGGGGACAUUGGGACACGGAGACAUUGGGAUUUGGGUUUAUGGGGACAUUGGGACACAGAGACAUCAGAGCAUGGGGAUAUGGGGACAUUGGGAUGGAGGAAUAUGGGGACAUUGGGACAUAAAGCAGUGGGGACAUUGGGAUUUGGGUUUAUGGGGACACGGAAACACUGGGAUUUGGGUUUAUGGGGACAUUGGGACAUGCAGACAUUGGGAUUUGGGUUUAUGGGGACAUGAAGACAUUGGGAUUUGGGUUUAUGGGGGCAUGGAGACACUGGGAUUUGGGUUUAUGGAGACAUUGGGACAUGCAGACAUUGGGAUUUGGGUUUAUGGGGACAUUGGGACAUGGAGACACUGGGAUUUGGGUUUUUGGGGACAUUGGGACACAGAGACAUCAGGGCAU
RNAcentral lists this long non-coding RNA (1047 nucleotides) under Chrysolophus pictus (golden pheasant). RNAcentral's name for it is "lncRNA (ENSCPIG00010001828.1)". The record is from RNAcentral. Lineage: Eukaryota; Metazoa; Chordata; Aves; Galliformes; Phasianidae.